CAGGUUUUGAGAGCUGAGCAGGCUCCAGAGGGAUGUUUUUCUUCUCCGUUUGUCUGCUGUGUCUGGCCCGUAAAACCCACCGGAACUCCAUGCUGGACGGAGGAAUUCCUGCUGAACGGGGACCUGGAGAAGGCAGGCAGGGGGGAGCCCUUAUCAGGGCAGAGACCACCCCCAUCUUCGAGGCCCCACCUCUGGGUCAGACCCAAUCCAGGAUAUCACAUUGCAUUUGGGACUAUGCUCCUUUCAAAUUCUAUUGGUCGCCUCAGUUGUCUCUCCCUGGACACAGAAUGGGUGGGAAAGCUGUCGUCUUCCAUACUGAGCUGGGACACUGAGACUCGAAAACACAAGUGACCGAGCUCCCCUGGCAGGGCCCACCUCACUCUGCACCCUCGCUCUGCCUCUCCCUUCCCCCCGGACUCUAGGAAUUCAGAAGCCCCUUCGGAGUGUCCCACCGGGCCCACCCCUCCCACCAGUGCAGACAAUGAGAGAUGCUCCUGCUUGAGUGGAGAGAGCCACCGCACGCCCAUCACUAACUCUCCUAGACUGGGGGGCCAGGACAAUGGCUGAGAGACCUCAGCCUGGGUGGAGCACAGCCCUGUGUAAAGGAGAGAGAAACGGAGGGGGAAAUACUGUUAUUUGCCUGUGCAGAAUCAUGUGUGAUAGACGAAAACUGCUGCAAAUUCGUUGCAGUUUCUCCCGUUAAGAGGUGUAGCCUGUUUCCCCGCCCCUUGAAUUGGGGCCGGCCCUACGAUUUGCCCUGAUGACAAGAAUUGCGCAGAAGGGAUGCUGUGCCACUUCUGGGCUCAAACGCCAGGGCCUUGCAGCUCCUCCCCUCACUCUCGGAACCCUGAGGCCAUCAUGUGAAUAAGCCCGAGCUGACUCGCUGGACGGGCCACAUGAAGGAGAGCGUGUCACCCAGCCAACAGCCCGCCAACGGCCAGACCAGGGAGUAAGGCUAUUGGAGGCCACCCAGCCCCAGUGAAGUGAAGCUGACAGCACGCAGCCCCACAAUGACCCCAGGCGAGGUCAGCAGAACCAUCCAGAUGAGCCCAGCCCAAACGGCCAACCCACAGAACCGUGGGCAAGUAAAUGACUUGUUUUUCGCUGCUAAGUUUUGGGCUGGUUUGUUACACAGCAAAGCCUGACUAACUAAUGCAUGAUCCCUCAUUUCCCUCUUGGCAGUGGCAUCCCAAUUUUAUUUCAGAAGGCUGCGUGCCAGUCCCAGGAGAUGGGAUGUGACUGGUCUACUCAACUAUGACAAUUCUGUUCCUGCUGUCUUAGCUUUCCUUGCAGCUAGAGGUGGCAACGGUAGCUGGUUUGGGCCAAGGAAAUAUGCAGGGAGAGACAGCAGGAAGCAGGCCUCUGAGAAAGGUUUGACUUUAUGAGAGAGGUCGACAAGUCCAGCUGGCUUGGCCUUCCUCAUCCCCCACUCCUUUCUUCCUUGAAGACAGACAUGAUUCCUGGAGGUACAGCAGCCAUCCUGUGACCAUGAGGUAACAAGCCAUGAGGGAAAGGCCAAAAGGAUAAUAGAAAUGUGAGCCCUCCUUUACUGAGUUGUUAAAUCAACACCAUCAGCCACCUGUCUCCAGAAUUCAUGCUGUGCGGAAACACAACUUCUCUUUGUCUAGCCACUGUAAGCUAGUUUGUCCUUUACUUGCAGCUGAGUGUAUUCCAUAAAAAUAGGAUAUAUGAAGACAAAAAUGCAGCAGGAUCCUUGUCUUUGGGAAUCUGGAGCCAGCAGCAUGUGGCUCUCCAAACCCAUCUCCUUUCUCGUGUCAUCCUCUCAAUAAUCCCUCAAGGUCGAGGCCAUGACCCCAUGACCACAGAGGGAACUGAGGCUCCCACACUGUUCGGCUGUGAGUCCAAGAGCUGGCAAACAGGUGCUGAGAGUCAGAGCCUCCCGGAGGCUUGGAGAGAACGCACCCCUCCUGCGCCCGCUGUGUGGCCCGGCCCACCGGAGGCCACCGCGUCUUCUGGGCUCUUGGGAGCGGUGGCAGGUGCCGAGGAGGCUGCUAUUGCAAGUCCGGCGUGGAAGCGCCCAGGUACACCCGCAGGUCUGAGAGAGUCGACUGGACAAGCUUGGCUGGGAUGGUCUCCCGCUGCAGCUGCUGGUAGGCCGCAUAGCGGUGGCAGCCCCCGAAGGAGUAGAAGUAGUCGCCCCCCCGGGCCCCUUUGAUCCAGAGGACGUCGAUGGGGGGCACGCUGUCCGGGUCCUCCUGGAAAGAAGGGGCACAGGGUGAGCGCGCAGUGAGCAGAGCUGACUUUGCUAACCUCGUUCCCUCCCGCAGGGCGCUCGCCCUGGCCCGCGCUGGCUUGUGAGAGACGCGUGUUACAGAUUCAGGAAGCUUGUGAGCUGUCUGACAUCAGCUUGGGACUGUCGCAGUGAGAGUACUGACACCAGGGGAAGAGCCAGCAGAGCAGUACUUUAUCCCCUAGACACCAGCUUGUUAACUAUUACCAACACAGCACGUGCAUCCUACGUAUCUGGCACUGUUCUAGACUCCGGGGUGCGGGACCGCCAGAAUGAGGCAGGCACAGCCCCUGCCUUCACAGGGCUUCCGUCUAGAGGGGCCGAUGGAAUGAAGAAGUGAACGGUAAUAAACGCGAGGAAGACAGUCCCACAGGUUGACGCUACAGCGACGGGGUUCCUCAAGGCCUCUCCAGUGUGAG
Equus caballus (horse) is the source of this 2670-nucleotide long non-coding RNA. The record is from Ensembl. Lineage: Eukaryota; Metazoa; Chordata; Mammalia; Perissodactyla; Equidae.